AGCUACGGGAGGCAGCAGUGGGGAAUAUUGCACAAUGGGGGAAACCCUGAUGCAGCGACGCCGCGUGAGUGGAGAAGUAUCUCGGUACGUAAAGCUCUAUCAGCAGGGAAGAAAAUGACGGUACCUGACUAAGAAGCUCCGGCUAAAUACGUGCCCGCAGUCGCGGUAAUACGUAGGGGGCAAGCGUUAUCCGGAUUUACUGGGUGUAAAGGGAGCGUAGACGGCAGCACAAGUCUGGAGUGAAAUCCCGGGGCUUAACCCCGGAACUGCUUUGGAAACUGUGCGGCUGGAGUGCAGGAGGGGUAAGCGGAAUUCCUAGUGUAGCGGUGAAAUGCGUAGAUAUUAGGAGGAACACCGGUGGCGAAGGCGGCUUACUGGACUGUAACUGACGUUGAGGCUCGAAAGCGUGGGGAGCAAACAGGAUUAGAUACCCCGGUAGUC
RNAcentral lists this ribosomal RNA (441 nucleotides) under uncultured bacterium. Its description in RNAcentral is "partial 16S ribosomal RNA". It matches the Rfam family "Bacterial small subunit ribosomal RNA", at positions 337 to 795 of the family's 1533-position model. The record is from RNAcentral.